Molecule: ribosomal RNA, 393 nt
Filed under: uncultured bacterium
Lineage: Bacteria
Description: partial 16S ribosomal RNA
Rfam family: Bacterial small subunit ribosomal RNA
Source: RNAcentral
AUACGGAGGAUGCGAGCGUUAUCCGGAUUUAUUGGGUUUAAAGGGUGCGUAGGCGGUUUUUUAAGGCAGCGGUGAAACGCAAGGGAUCAAACCUUGACCUGCCGUUGAAACUGGAGGGCUUGAAUGCGGAUGCUGUGGGAGGAAUGUGUGGGGUAGCGGUGAAAUGCAUAGAUAUUACACAGAACACCGAUUGCGAAGGCAUCUCACAAAUCCGUGAUUGACGCUGAGGCACGAAAGUGUGGGGAUCAAACAGGAUUAGAUACCCUGGUAGUCCACACUGUAAACGAUGAUGACUCGCUGUCGGCGAUAUACAGUCGGUGGCCAAGCGAAAGCGAUAAGUCAUCCACCUGGGGAGUACGACCGCAAGGUUGAAACUCAAAGGAAUUGACGGGG